This 253-nucleotide ribosomal RNA is filed under the name uncultured bacterium. Its description in RNAcentral is "partial 16S ribosomal RNA". It matches the Rfam family "Bacterial small subunit ribosomal RNA", at positions 524 to 776 of the family's 1533-position model. The record is from RNAcentral.
UACGGGGGGUGCGAGCGUUGUCCGGAAUCACUGGGCGUAAAGGGCGCGUAGGUGGCGUCGUAAGUCUGUGGUGAAAGCCCGGAGCUCAACUCCGGGUCUGCCGCGGAUACUGCGAGGCUUGAGUGCUGUAGAGGGGGGUAGAAUGCCGGGUGCAGCGGUGGAAUGCGUAGAGAUGCGGAGGAACACCGAUGGCGAAGGCAGCCCCCUGGGCUGACACUGACGCUCAGGCACGAAAGCGUGGGGAGCAAACAGG